CGCGUAGGUGGGAUAGUCAGUCUGUCUUAAAAGUGCGGGGCUCAACCCCGUGAUGGGGCGGAAACUGCUAUUCUUGAGUGCAGGAGAGGAAAGCGGAAUUCCCAGUGUAGCGGUGAAAUGCGUAGAUAUUGGGAGGAACACCAGUGGCGAAGGCGGCUUUCUGGACUGUGUCUGACACUGAGGCGCGAAAGCUAGGGGAGCGAACGGGAUUAGAUACCCCGGUAGUCCUAGCCGUAAACGAUGGGUACUAGGUGUAGGGGGUAUCGACCCUCCUGUGCCGGAGUUAACGCAAUAAGUACCCGCCUGGGGAGUACGGCCGCAAGGUUGAA
RNAcentral lists this ribosomal RNA (329 nucleotides) under uncultured bacterium. RNAcentral's name for it is "bacterial SSU rRNA". It matches the Rfam family "Bacterial small subunit ribosomal RNA", at positions 568 to 898 of the family's 1533-position model. The record is from RNAcentral.